Long non-coding RNA from Dalotia coriaria, 161 nucleotides. RefSeq lists it as uncharacterized. The record is from RefSeq and is a predicted model, not a curated record. The transcript is spliced from 2 exons. Lineage: Eukaryota; Metazoa; Arthropoda; Insecta; Coleoptera; Staphylinidae.
CUGAGAAGGUAGAAGGACCAUUCUUGCAUCAGAUUGGAUUUUGCACCUGAGUCUGACAUCGUAGAAGGACCAUUCUUUCAUCAGAUUGUCAGUAUUAAAUUUCCUUAUCAUUAUUUUAAAUAACUUUUGUGAUUAUUACACAAAUUGACUCCCAAAAUGUA